Molecule: transfer RNA, 78 nt
Filed under: Erwinia phage SunLIRen
Lineage: Duplodnaviria; Heunggongvirae; Uroviricota; Caudoviricetes; Andersonviridae
Also listed under: 1 other name
Description: tRNA-Gln
Rfam family: tRNA
About the family: Transfer RNA (tRNA) molecules are approximately 80 nucleotides in length. Their secondary structure includes four short double-helical elements and three loops (D, anti-codon, and T loops).
Source: RNAcentral
UCGGGGUAUGGAGUAAUUGGCAACUCUACGGUUUUUGAGGCCGUCAGUUUUCGGUUCGAAUCCGAAUGCCCCCGCCAA